Molecule: ribosomal RNA, 252 nt
Filed under: uncultured bacterium
Lineage: Bacteria
Description: partial 16S ribosomal RNA
Rfam family: Bacterial small subunit ribosomal RNA
Source: RNAcentral
UACGUAGGGGGCAAGCGUUGUCCGGAAUUACUGGGCGUAAAGCGCGUGUAGGCGGGACGGUUAGUCGGACGUGAAAGGCUGGGCUCAACCCCAGAUCGCCGUUCGAAACUGCCGUUCUUGAGGGUCGAAGAGGAGAGUGGAAUUCCUGGUGUAGCGGUGAAAUGCGUAGAGAUCAGGAGGAACACCCAUGGCGAAGGCAGCUCUCUGGUCGACAUCUGACGCUGAGACGCGAAAGCGUGGGGAGCAAACAGG